Molecule: long non-coding RNA, 205 nt
Filed under: Mytilus galloprovincialis (Mediterranean mussel)
Lineage: Eukaryota; Metazoa; Mollusca; Bivalvia; Mytilida; Mytilidae
Source: RNAcentral
CUAUUACCAAUAAAGGAUACCGAUAAACGGCUUAUGUAUCUUCUUACGCAUACUUACCAUCUACUAUGAGUCAAUAAUAUUUGGUUCAGAGCAGCACACCAUUACAGAAACAAUUGGCUGCAAGUGGAUUCUACUACGUUUCUCCAAUGCUGAAUGUAGUGCCUACUUACGGUAUCAUCCACGUCGAGUCAAUGGCAAACCCCAC